Long non-coding RNA from Humulus lupulus (European hop), 935 nucleotides. RefSeq lists it as uncharacterized. The record is from RefSeq and is a predicted model, not a curated record. Lineage: Eukaryota; Viridiplantae; Streptophyta; Magnoliopsida; Rosales; Cannabaceae. The transcript has 4 exons.
GGGAUCAUGAAUCCUGAAAACAAGUUCCAGAUUCCAUAAAACGCCGAUGAAACGACUGAAGCGAUGUGGACGUUUGGAGUCGCUCCCACCAUCAUCAUGCCGUAGUAGGUGUAGUACGACAACGCGAAGAAUGUGAAGAACAGAUCCCAGAACAUUGUCCCAAAUAUUAAGGCUGCGAUAGUGCUGAAGAGCAAUCUAACGGCGGUGUAUGGUGGGUUUCGCCAGUGAGACUUGUGCUGUUUCCAUAAACAAGCUAUGCAUUGGGUGAGAAAUGACUGCGAAUAUUGAGAAGGGAAAUGGAGUUCCUUUGACCCAGGAGAAGCAGAUCUGGCAUCUAAUCCUGAAGUUGGCUCAUCCAUGAAUAUUAUAGAGGGGUUUGCGACUAGUUCAACUGCAAUGGUCAACCUUUUGCGCUGCUCAGUUGAGAGACCAUUGACUCCAGGCAAUCCAACUAGUGCUUGUCUUAGUGGAGAGAGUUCCACAAGCUCCAUCACUUCCUCUAUGAACAACUGUCAGAGAUUCUCAAUAGUCGUAAGCGUUUUCAUUUUCUUCAAAAAGGCAAAGUUUAUUAUUUUGUUUUUUUAAUAAAAAAUUGCAUCUUGCUGCUGCCUUAAACGUGGAUGAGUCUCUUGCUGCUGCCUUAAACGUGGAUGAGUUCUCUUGCUGCUGUUGCUGCUGCCUUAAACGUGGAUGAGUUCUCUUGCUGCUGUUGCUGCUGCCUUAAACGUGGAUGAGUUCUCUUGCUGCUGCCUUAAACGUGGAUGAGUCUCAUCUUAUUUUUUUGGACCAAUAGAAAGAAUAAACAUUACUAGUUUUUUUAAAUUGAAAGGUAAAUGUUUUUGUCUUAUAUUAUAGGCAAAUAAAAAAAAAACCUUUCUUUGAUAUAUAUAUAUAUACAUAUUUUUUAAUUUAAUAAUUGAACUGCUGGAUUAUAC